RNAcentral lists this ribosomal RNA (551 nucleotides) under uncultured Acaulospora. RNAcentral's name for it is "SSU rRNA". It matches the Rfam family "Eukaryotic small subunit ribosomal RNA", at positions 548 to 1098 of the family's 1831-position model. The record is from RNAcentral. Lineage: Eukaryota; Fungi; Glomeromycota; Glomeromycetes; Diversisporales; Acaulosporaceae.
UUGGAGGGCAAGUCUGGUGCCAGCAGCCGCGGUAAUUCCAGCUCCAAUAGCGUAUAUUAAAGUUGUUGCAGUUAAAAAGCUCGUAGUUGAAUUUCGGAAUCUGUCCAUUGGUCGGGCUUCACUGUCCGUACUGGUGUGGUGGGUUCUUACCUUCUGAAUAACCAGCAUGCCAUUCAUUUGGUGCGUUGGGGAAGCAGGACUAUUACCUUGAAAAAAUUAGAGUGCUCAAAGCAGGCUAGUGCCUGAAUACAUUAGCAUGGAAUAAUAAAAUAGGACGGCAUGGUUCUAUUUUGUUGGUUUCUAGGAUCACCGUAAUGAUUAAUAGGGAUAGUUGGGGGCAUUAGUAUUCAAUUGUCAGAGGUGAAAUUCUUGGAUUUAUUGAAGACUAACUUCUGCGAAAGCAUUUGCCAAGGAUGUUUUCAUUAAUCAAGAACGAAAGUUAGGGGAUCGAAGACGAUCAGAUACCGUCGUAGUCUUAACCAUAAACUAUGCCGACUAGGGAUCGGAUGAUGUUAAUUUUUUAAUGACUCAUUCGGCGCCUUACGGGAAAC